UGCGCUGUCAUAGGUUGCCAACUCCUCCAGUACCACAUCAUGCAUGUGAAUGGCUGGUAAUUCAUUUUUGAGAUGUGUAAAGAUGUGUUGCCCAGAUAUGAAGCCCAAGAGGGAGGGUGAAUUAGAUCUUUUUAAAAUUUUAAACAUUAAACUACUUAAGCAAUGUGCCAAGGCGAAGUAUGAAGUGUAUCAACUUGCAAUAAAAAUAAAAUCAAACACAAAUAAGAAGUAAGCAAGUAAUAAGCAUAAAGAACAAAAAA
RNAcentral lists this long non-coding RNA (260 nucleotides) under Elaeis guineensis (African oil palm). RNAcentral's name for it is "long non-coding RNA (EGUI_LNC044132)". The record is from RNAcentral. Lineage: Eukaryota; Viridiplantae; Streptophyta; Magnoliopsida; Arecales; Arecaceae.